UCUGUGCUAUAUGAAGGUUUGUAUCCUCAAGACAGCCAUAAUCCACACUAAUGUCAUGACACAAGCUACAACCAACAAUACUAGAAAGGUUAUGUCAGCAUCAAGGUCACCUGUCUUACAGGAAUGAAAAACAGAUAAAAAGAGAAAGGAAACUGUGUCCCCUAAGUGUGGUGUUUCUGGAGAUUCACGGCUUUUGAAUUUGUCCUUCCAGCCCUGGUGCCUGACAAGCCUACAACAGCUAAGAUUCAGAAGGAAAACAGCUCAUACACACACAUACACGUGCAAGUCAGGUCAGCGAGGAAGAGACAAGAGAAGAGGCAAGUGAUAUGGCUGAAUGCUCUUGGUCAGCUCAGGCCAGCCUAGAGCUUUAUAACAGCCAAGAAAACACUUAUACAGCACAGCAGAGCACAGUGUGUUUGAAUAGCUGGAGUUUGCAUUUUCAUGUAUUAUAAUGAGGAGCAAAAGUAAAAAGCUGUCAAGAAAAUUCUUCCCUGGCAACUUAAAUAUGCUUUCCCACACUUGAGUGAUCUGAGAGUACAUGCACACAUUGUAAUCAGCUUUACAUUAAUAACAAUGAAAUGUCCAUUCCUAUGAAGGAAAGUCAUGAGGGGGGUUUUUAGAUAAAUUUGGGACACCUUGCAAAGAUAACUUGGAAGUCAGCUUGACAAUAUCUAAGGGACAUAUUUCAAGAGUAAUACUCUCUUGAAGUUUUCCUGGAAUACUUAUUGCUCAGCGGACAGGGUCAGUCUCCAGAGGAAAGGAAGAAGUAACACCUCACAAAAUUCCUUUAUCGCUUCUCUCCAGCAGACCACAGAUGGCUGUUUCAUCUCCUGUGUUGUUUAAUGCUAAUGGCUGCAGUGAGUUUACAGGUGUCUGAUCCAACUCUGCAGCUGCAGUGCUGAAUUGGUACCCAUGGAAGCACUACCUCAAGAUUAAGAGAAAAUUCUGCAUCAGAACUGAGCAUUUUUGGACAACAGCAGCUAGAGCAGAAUGAUGAUUUUGAAGGAAACGAUGAUAUGUUAUUUUAAGGGAAAAGAAUAACAUAUAUUAGCCUCAGUAAAAUCACGUGAAGAAAAUUCAUGAGUCACCAAGAAAUGUCAUCACUGGAUAGUGGUAUCUGGAAAAGUCCUCCUGAAUUACUUGUCCUAACACAGCCAAAGUUUAUUGGGUGCUUGACUGAUAAGUAAAAUAGACAUUUCUUGUCUGAGGGAGAAGAAUGUGGACAUGGGAGAAGUAGAAGACAAACAAAGGCUGAAAGUGGAGGAAGGGAAGCCAAGGACAUUCCUUUGGCUAGUUAAUUUUCCAAAGUAUGCUUCAUAAAGGUUCUAACUCACAUGAACGUAUGCAUUAUGGGUUAGCAUAACCAUUUCACAGUGUAACUUAAAAUAUCCCACUGGAUGCCGAUUAAGAUGUUGUGUCUGAGCCUGUUGACUUUCUGCUGUAAUUUUGCAGCAAAACACGGUGAAAGGGUAGAUAGGCUUAUCUGCACAUCUGUUGCUAGAACCCAAUACCUUUGCUUUACAGUUAUGAGUAAGAAUCUCACCUACUUAAAAGUCUGCUUGGGAAAUGAUUAGAACGGAAUGUCAACCAUAGGGCAUAGGACUCUCACAGGAACGUGUGUAUCAGCUAAAGAAUUGGCUUUAUAAGAUGGAGGAGGUGAACUGAAGCUGUUACCAGCCUGUGAGAAGAGAGGUACCAACAGCCUCCCAGUGCUUGAGACCUCUCCUCUUCUAUUGUCUUCUUUUCCUUUAAUUGUAUGGAUUAAAAAAAAAAAAAAAAAAAAAAAAAGUAAUCCCGAUAUCUCUUGCUGGUUUGGUAAUAUCCUCAUUUUACAGAGGCACCAGCUUUCCUCUCUACCUAAUAUCACAAAAUGGAGAAAAGUCAGUAAGUUCAGGCAUGCUUUUUAUCAGAUCUAGUGCCUCAGCCAUCUGCCUCAACAGUUCCUGAAACUGCUGAUAGUUGUCUGGCAGAGAUUAUAACCACUGUCACUAAAUCCUGAGAAGACAUUGAACAAGACAGGCUAAUAUUAAUUUAUUUACAUAUCCUUACCCUUGUAAUAUAUCUCUAUCUAGCAGCUCAGAAUGGCUUAAAUUGGGGUUAUGGUUCUAGUUCUGCAGGGGAAAUGGCACAAGAAGAUAACUUGAUUUUGCAGGAGAAGAACAAUAAUAGCACUCUCAAUUUUCAGCUAACAGACUGACUUAACUUCACACAUCCACAGAAGACAACUGUGAAAACAGGCAGAAUUAGAGACACAGGGCAGGAGAAAACAUUGUGGUAUAAAUCUUUUACAGCCAGAAUGGAAAUUUAGACCACGUCAGGAAUUGCAACACUUAAUAUCUGUCACGUGGGCUCUGCAGGAGACUCAAUAGGGCUGCAUUAAAUUUACCUCUCAGCAUAUAGUAGGAGUUGGAUUCCCAAGAGCAGCAUUCAAGUGAGUGAAGGGCUGAUCAGUGAGUCUCACAGAGGUAGCCAGUGGGGAACAGGGAGCAGAACAGUUUUUCUCUGAGACUUAAGUAUUUGCAUCUGGCCUCGAGCUACAGCCCAGGAGCUUUCCUGGUUGUAGAUAGCAAUUGCCAUUCCUUCUGGGUGAGACCAAAUGAUUUCUUUAAAAGCAAGUCGUGUCAUGAAACAGUAGCGAUACCUGUUUCCCAUGGAUGCAUGCUGAUUUUGCACUACACCUCUUUACAAUGACAAUUUGUUUCCCACAAGUCCUACCAGCUAAUAGGCUGUAUGAGCUAAGGCAUGUUCUGACACCUUGUAUCUCUUGCAAACCCUACAACAGUUCUCUCACCUGGACAUGAAUUUGGACCUCUCCCUUCUACCCUGAUGCUUAUUUUUCCAGAAACUCUGCCCCUUUUUCAGUUUCACUGAAUUUGGACAAUGAGUUUAAAAGUUAUGUGAGUUGAGGGGGUGGGUGGGGAAGAUUUACAGAAAAGAAUAACCUUAUGGCCCAUUACACUUGGUGUUUUU
This is a long non-coding RNA of Corvus hawaiiensis (hawaiian crow), 2970 nucleotides long. RefSeq lists it as uncharacterized. The record is from RefSeq and is a predicted model, not a curated record. The transcript is spliced from 3 exons. Lineage: Eukaryota; Metazoa; Chordata; Aves; Passeriformes; Corvidae.